Molecule: transfer RNA, 89 nt
Filed under: Clostridiales bacterium
Lineage: Bacteria; Bacillati; Bacillota; Clostridia; Eubacteriales
Description: tRNA-OTHER
Rfam family: tRNA
About the family: Transfer RNA (tRNA) molecules are approximately 80 nucleotides in length. Their secondary structure includes four short double-helical elements and three loops (D, anti-codon, and T loops).
Source: RNAcentral
GGGCCCGUAGCUUAGUCUGGCGGAGCGUCUGGCUCAUAAGAUCCUUCUGAGAGACCAGAUGGUCGUCGGUUCAAAUCCGACCGGGCCCA